GGGAUGACCCACGGCUCUUUACACUCACGGCCCUGCGACGGCGGGGCUUCCCACCUGAGGCCAUCAACAACUUCUGUGCCCGGGUGGGAGUGACUGUGGCACAGACCACAAUGGAGCCACAUCUUCUAGAAGCCUGUGUGCGUGAUGUACUGAAUGACACAGCCCCACGAGCCAUGGCUGUGCUGGAGUCACUACGGGUCAUCAUCACCAACUUUCCUGCUGCCAAGUCCUUGGACAUCCAGGUGCCCAACUUCCCAGCUGAUGAGACCAAAGGCUUCCAUCAGGUUCCCUUUGCACCCAUUGUCUUCAUUGAGAGGACUGACUUCAAGGAGGAGCCAGAGCCAGGAUUUAAGCGCCUGGCUUGGGGCCAGCCUGUGGGCCUGAGGCAUACAGGCUACGUCAUUGAGCUGCAGCAUGUUGUCAAGGGCCCCAGUGGUUGUGUAGAGAGUCUGGAGGUGACCUGCAGACGGGCAGAUGCUGGAGAGAAGCCAAAGGCCUUUAUUCACUGGGUGUCACAGCCUUUGAUGUGUGAGGUUCGCCUCUAUGAGCGACUCACAAGAACCCUGAAGAUCCUACUGAGGUGCCUGGUGGAUUUUUAAGUGACCUGAACCUGGUAGGUUCGUGAGGUUUGGGGUGAGGGAGGUAGGCCUCCCUGGUUGGAUGGUUGCCUGAGUUCCCUGCCUGCAGGCAUCACUACACGUGGUGGAUGCA
Molecule: small RNA, 711 nt
Filed under: Pan troglodytes (chimpanzee)
Lineage: Eukaryota; Metazoa; Chordata; Mammalia; Primates; Hominidae
Description: processed transcript
Source: RNAcentral